This 404-nucleotide ribosomal RNA is filed under the name Actinomycetes bacterium. RNAcentral describes it as "Actinobacteria bacterium partial 16S ribosomal RNA". It matches the Rfam family "Bacterial small subunit ribosomal RNA", at positions 355 to 776 of the family's 1533-position model. Lineage: Bacteria; Bacillati; Actinomycetota; Actinomycetes. The record is from RNAcentral.
UGGGGAAUAUUGGACAAUGGGCGCAAGCCUGAUCCAGCCAUGCCGCGUGAGUGAUGAAGGCCCUAGGGUCGUAAAGCUCUUUCACCGGUGAAGAUAAUGACGGUAACCGGAGAAGAAGCACCGGCUAACUUCGUGUCAGCAGCCGCGGUAAUACGAAGGGGGCUAGCGUUGUUCGGAUUUACUGGGCGUAAAGCGCACGUAGGCGGACUUUUAAGUCAGGUGUGCAAUCCCGGGGCUCAACCCCGGAACUGCCUUUGAUACUGGAAGUCUUGAGUAUGGUAGAGGUGAGUGGAAUUCCGAGUGUAGAAGUGAAAUUCGUAGAUAUUCGGAGGAACACCAGUGGCGAAGGCGGCUCACUGGACCAUUACUGACGCUGAGGUGCGAAAGCGUGGGGAGCAAACAGG